RNAcentral lists this microRNA precursor (150 nucleotides) under Panax ginseng (ginseng). RNAcentral's name for it is "miR6135e stem-loop (pgi-MIR6135e)". The stretch from base 17 to 134 matches the Rfam family "MIR6135 microRNA precursor family". The record is from miRBase by way of RNAcentral. Lineage: Eukaryota; Viridiplantae; Streptophyta; Magnoliopsida; Apiales; Araliaceae.
AUGGGAAGUGGUUAGCAUGAAGUUUAUUUUGGGUAAGUUGGUCAAUUGACUAAUAGAAUACUGACACGCAGGCGAGUUCUAUGUGUGUAGUAUUUAUUGGCUCAAUUGACCAACUUACAAAAAAAUAACUUCAUGCUAACCGGAUCCCAU